Molecule: ribosomal RNA, 390 nt
Filed under: Cercopithecus nictitans (white-nosed guenon)
Lineage: Eukaryota; Metazoa; Chordata; Mammalia; Primates; Cercopithecidae
Description: partial 12S small subunit ribosomal RNA
Rfam family: Bacterial small subunit ribosomal RNA
Source: RNAcentral
UUAGCCUUAAACCUCAGUAGUUAAAACAACAAAACUACUCGCCAGAAUACUACAAGCAAUGGCUUGAAACUCAAAGGACUUGGCGGUGCUUCAUAUCCCCCUAGAGGAGCCUGUCCCGUAAUCGAUAAACCCCGAUCCACCUCACCCUCUCUUGCUCAGCCUAUAUACCGCCAUCUUCAGCAAACCCUGAUAAAGGUUACAAAGUGAGCGCAAAUGCCUCUCUUCGCAAAAACGUUAGGUCAAGGUGUAGCCCAUGAGACGGUAAAAGAUGGGCUACAUUUUCUACCUCAGAAAACUCUACGACAACUCUUAUGAAACCUAAGAAUCCAAGGAGGAUUUAGCAGUAAAUUAAGAAUAGAGUGCUUAAUUGAACUAGGCCAUAAAGCACGC